This 298-nucleotide small RNA is filed under the name Oryza sativa Japonica Group (Japanese rice). Its description in RNAcentral is "Os04g0497600". Lineage: Eukaryota; Viridiplantae; Streptophyta; Magnoliopsida; Poales; Poaceae. The record is from RNAcentral.
AGGGACUGGAAGAAUAACAGGGGCGGGAGGCACUUCGGUGGGAAGCGUGGUCGCCACUCGGACGGCCAUGAAAGGGCAAAUAAAGCUCGAAAAGUCGAUGCUGCUGCUUAAAGGCCUCGUCGUCUUAUACUAGUAACCUCAGCUUAUGAGCUCUAGUGAGGAACGGAAAUGUUUGCUCCGUUGCUUGCUUCCACAACUUUGGGAGCAAACCUUUUGUGUUGUGUUUCUUGUCGUGAGCUAUGCUCUUUGGAAGUAAGAAACGGUGAACUCAUGAUGAAACGGAAAAUUUUGUUCGGUC